CACGUAGGGGGCAAGCGUUGUCCGGAUUCAUUGGGCGUAAAGGGCGCGUAGGCGGCUUGACAAAUCAAAGGUGAAAUCCCUCGGCUCAACUGAGGAACUGCCUUUGAAACUGUCUGGCUUGAGGCCGGGAGGGGGUAGCGGAAUUCCCAGUGUAGCGGUGAAAUGCGUAGAUAUUGGGAGGAACACCAGUGGCGAAGGCGGCUACCUGGACCGGUUCUGACGCUGAUGCGCGAAAGCGUGGGUAGCAAACAGG
Molecule: ribosomal RNA, 253 nt
Filed under: uncultured bacterium
Lineage: Bacteria
Description: partial 16S ribosomal RNA
Rfam family: Bacterial small subunit ribosomal RNA
Source: RNAcentral